CCUGGUUGAUCCUGCCAGUGGUCAUAUGCUUGUCUCAAAGAUUAAGCCAUGCAUGUUUAAGCAGAAGCCGCACAAUGGUAAAGCCGCGAAUGGCUCAUUACAACAGCCGUCGUUUCUUGGAUCUCUAAUUUUACUUGGAUAACUGGUAAUUCUAGAGCUAAUACACGCACUAAAGCUCUGACCUUACGGGACGAGCGCAUUUAUUAGAACAAAACCAAUCGGGUUUCGGCCCGUGCGUUGGUGACUCUGAAUAACUCUGCCGAUCGCAUGGUCUCGCACCGGCGACGUAUCUUUCAAGUGUCUGCCUUAUCAACUUUCGAUGGUAGUUUAUGUGCCUACCAUGGUUGUAACGGGUAACGGAGAAUAAGGGUUCGACUCCGGAGAGGGAGCCUGAGAAACGGCUACCACAUCCAAGGAAGGCGGCAGGCGCGCAAAUUACCCACUCUCGGCACGAGGAGGUAGUGACGAAAAAUAACGAGAUGGAUCUCUUUGAGGCCCAUUAUCGGGAUGAGAACAAUUCAAAUCCUUUAACGAGGAUCUAGCGGAGGGCAAGUCUGGUGCCAGCAGCCGCGGUAAUUCCAGCUCCGCAGGUGUAUAUCUAUGCUGCUGCGGUUAAAAAGCUCGUAGUUGGAUCUGCGUGCUCGGAACUGGUUGGCUCACUGAGUUCAAACUGGUCUCCGGCGCUUUAUUUGCUGGUUUUCCCUUGAUGCUCUUAACCGGGUGUCUCGGGUGGCUAGCGUGUUUACUUUGAAAAAAUUAGAGUGCUCAAUACAGGCGCAAAGCCUUGAAUAGUGGUGCAUGGAAUAAUAGAAUAGGACCUCGGCUCUAUUUUGUUGGUUUUCGGAACACGAGGUAAUGAUUAAGAGGGACAGACGGGGGCAUUCGUAUUGCGACGUUAGAGGUGAAAUUCUUGGAUCGUCGCAAGACGGACGACUGCGAAAGCAUUUGCCAAGAAUGUUUUCAUUAAUCAAGAACGAAAGUUAGAGGUUCGAAGGCGAUCAGAUACCGCCCUAGUUCUAACCGUAAACGAUGCCAACUAGCGAUUCGCAGGCGUUAAACAACGACCUUGCGGGCAGCUUCCCGGAAACGAAAGUGUUCCGGUUCCGGGGGAAGUAUGGUUGCAAAGCUGAAACUUAAAGGAAUUGACGGAAGGGCACCACCAGGAGUGGAGCCUGCGGCUUAAUUUGACCCAACACGGGAAAACUCACCCGGCCCGGACACCGUAAGGAUUGACAGAUUGAGAGCUCUUUCUUGAUUCGGUGGGUGGUGGUGCAUGGCCGUUCUUAGUUGGUGGAGCGAUUUGUCUGGUUUAUUCCGAUAACGAACGAGACUCUGGCCUACUAAAUAGUGGGCGGAUUCUUUCUGUCCGCAACACUUCUUAGAGGGACAAGCGGUGUUCAGCCGCACGAGAUUGAGC
RNAcentral lists this ribosomal RNA (1417 nucleotides) under metagenome. RNAcentral describes it as "SSU rRNA". It matches the Rfam family "Eukaryotic small subunit ribosomal RNA", at positions 3 to 1451 of the family's 1831-position model. The record is from RNAcentral.